AUGGAACUGGCCGUGGAGAAUAUGGCCGAUUUUGUGGAGAUCGAUGUGCAGGAGACGGCCGACGGCGUGGUGGUUCUGGGCCAUGAUUCCACA
Molecule: transfer RNA, 93 nt
Filed under: Hungatella hathewayi
Lineage: Bacteria; Bacillati; Bacillota; Clostridia; Lachnospirales; Lachnospiraceae
Description: tRNA-His(gtg)
Source: RNAcentral